Molecule: ribosomal RNA, 253 nt
Filed under: uncultured bacterium
Lineage: Bacteria
Description: partial 16S ribosomal RNA
Rfam family: Bacterial small subunit ribosomal RNA
Source: RNAcentral
UACGUAGGGUGCAAGCGUUGUCCGGAAUUAUUGGGCGUAAAGAGCUCGUAGGCGGUUUGUCGCGUCUGCUGUGAAAACCUAAGGCUCAACCUUGGGCUUGCAGUGGGUACGGGCAGACUAGAGUGCGGUAGGGGUGACUGGAAUUCCUGGUGUAGCGGUGGAAUGCGCAGAUAUCAGGAGGAACACCGAUGGCGAAGGCAGGUCACUGGGCCGCAACUGACGCUGAGGAGCGAAAGCAUGGGGAGCGAACAGG